RNAcentral lists this ribosomal RNA (468 nucleotides) under uncultured bacterium. Its description in RNAcentral is "partial 16S ribosomal RNA". It matches the Rfam family "Bacterial small subunit ribosomal RNA", at positions 28 to 507 of the family's 1533-position model. The record is from RNAcentral.
GACGAACGCUGGCGGCGUGCUUAACACAUGCAAGUCGAACGGAAAGGCCCUGCUUUUGUGGGGUGCUCGAGUGCCGCACGGGUGAGUAACACGUGUGUAACCUGCCCUUGUCUUUGGGAUAACUUCAGGAAACUGGGGCUCAUACCGGAUAGGAGCUCCUGCUGCAUGGUGGGGGUUGGAAAGUUUCGGCGGUUGGGGAUGGACUCGCGGCUUAUCAGCUUGUUGGUGGGGUAGUGGCUUACCAGGGCUUUGACGGGUAGCCGGCCUGAGAGGGUGACCGGCCACAUGAGGACUGAGAUACGGCGCAGACUCCUACGGGAGGCAGCAGUGGGGAAUAUUGCAGAAUGGGCGGAAGCCUGAGGCAGCAACGCCGCGUGCGGGAUGACGGCCUUCGGGUUGUAAACAGCUUUCGCCUGUGACGAACCGUGAGUGACGGUAAUGGGUAAAGAAGCACCGGCUAACUACGUG